GAAAAUUGUACCAAAAGCAAGUUAAAUUGUACUACUUUCUCUUUUUAUAUAAGCAUUCUAUAGUGUACAGUGAAAGCCUUUACAUUUUUGAGCAACUUUCACAUAUAGCAAACAAAAAAAUUAUAUUUGUAGGCUAUAGCAAAGUUUGCAUAAUUGCGCUCCAUAUCAAACAUAUAUAUGUAUAAUUCGCUAUACAUAUACAAUUGAAAGCUAUGUCUAUUUCGCUAUACAUAUAUACAAAAAGAAGCAAUUAUAUAAUUCAUUGGCUCUUUUUCAGAUUUGUAUAAUUUCGUUGGCAGGCCAUUUGUAUAAAUUGUUGUUAGCCUCUCGUUUGUAUAAAUCGUUGACAAAAAUAUUUGUAUAUCAAAAAUCGCUCUCUCUUUCGCUUUAUUGUAUAAUUUCGCUGGCAGGCCAUUUGUAUAAAUUGUUGUUAGCCUCUCGUUGGCAAGGGAAUAUUUUUAUUGUAUAAUUAUAAGUGUAUAGGACGAAUAUAUAUGUAUUUGCAUGUGUAUAUACAAUUUUCUCUCGCUUUAUACAAACAUAAACGCAAUUUAUACAAUUCUGUUGUAUAAAGCGAGAGAGGCGAGCACAGAGGGAGCGAGCGAGAAAGGGAGAGUGGCGAGUGAGAAUUUGGAGGGAGGAGGCAACUAGCAAACGUUUGCUACGGGACGCAAUUAAAUCAAACAGUAGCUACUCCAUUUAUUUUAGAUUAUAAGUUUGCCAUUCUAUACAAUUAUCCCUACAUUUUUUGCUCUGUCUGGCCCAUUUUUAUUGGCAAUAGUUGCUUUAUAUCCACGUGUAAGGAACUGAAAUUACCUCUGCUUUUGAUAAAAAUAAAUUGUCUUUCUCUUUGCAAAGUAUAAUCAUCUCUCAUCCCUUUCUCUUUUCAUCUUGAAACGGGUGACUCUUUUUGCCCUUCUUCUGCAUCUGUUUUUUUCUCUUCAAAGAUUACAUGUAUUAUAUGUGAUGAUUGUAAAAUAACUAUCUUUAUCCUUCAAGUCCUAAUUUGUUUCCAGUUCUUUUUUUAUAUUUAUUUGAUUUUAUGAUUUUUGAAUGCAUUGUUGUAGGAUUUUAUUCUUGCAUGUUACUAAUUUGGUUUGAUUUACUCAUGGUUGUUCGAAAAUUGAUUUUCCCAUUUUUAUUCUUCUCACUUUUCUCUUUUUCUCUUUGCAUUUUGAGUAGUUUAUGGUAGAAUUUUGCACUUUCAUGUUCCUAAUUUCGUGUUAUAUAAUGAUGUAUGUUUUGAAAAUGUAUAUGUACUAGACCAUGUGAUGUAGUACUAUAGUGCAUCUGGAGCUUUUUUGUGGGUUUUCUUUCUUUUAGAAUUUGUCAAUUUUUUUCUAUUUGUGCAUAGUUUGAGCUCGCUAUAUUUGGAGUUAUUUUUAUUUUGAAUUUUUAAUUUGACUUGAGAGUUGUAUUGUGAAUGACUUAGAAAAAUAACAAAGAGAGCCUAUAUGUAGAGCAAUGACAACUCGAAAGUGAUUUCGGAGAAAGAACAAACGUAUAGUUCCAUCUUAAGAGUAGUUCCAUUUUUGAAAAAAUGAGAAAAGAUCAUGUGAAUGUAAAGUAGGGCAUGUGUUUUCUUUCCUCCUUUGAAUUGUUUCCUUUUCAGAUUUGCUAAUAUUGAUCCAUUUGACGACUAAUUUUAAUGUUGUUUUCUUAUUUUUCUAGCAUAUGGCAAGAUGUAAGCACAAGGGUGGACAAGCAGAUGGAAAAAAAUAGCAUGUUCUCGGGGUCACUAGAAACCUUGUGGAUGCUUCAACUGGUAAUGAAAGCAAAUCGCUUUUCUCCACCGUAUUACAAUAACUAACUAUCUUAUUUUUCAUGAGUUCCCUUUUGGCUCAUUCAGUGUCAAAUGCACAAGCAGUGCAGAGAAGAACAAGGUAAACGUUCUGUAGCACAAUGUAAUUAUAGAAAACUUUAGUAUUUAGGAUAGAAAGGCGACUGGUCCAUAUAUGUUCAAAGUUUUCUUAUUUUGCAUAAACCACUUUAAGUGUUUUCAAUAGAGUUAUAGUAGGCUAUAUG
This 2025-nucleotide long non-coding RNA is filed under the name Solanum tuberosum (potato). RNAcentral describes it as "long non-coding RNA (STUB_LNC005710)". Lineage: Eukaryota; Viridiplantae; Streptophyta; Magnoliopsida; Solanales; Solanaceae. The record is from RNAcentral.